Molecule: RNA transcript, 1731 nt
Organism: Drosophila mojavensis
Lineage: Eukaryota; Metazoa; Arthropoda; Insecta; Diptera; Drosophilidae
Exons: 5
Source: RefSeq, a predicted model, not a curated record
AAUGAGGCGAAAUGGGAUGGAAGACAUCGGAAAAUCUCUGCAGUUGGAGCGAGCGUUCGAUCACUGGCCAAUGCCAGUCCCAGUACCAGUGCCAGUGCAACAGGUAGCUCUUAAGAAUUUCCCCUACCCAAUGCGCGGCCGGAGCACUAUUGAAUACGAAAAUUUUGGCGCGCGAGCUUUUAUAGCGCGAAGCGCGUCGUCGCCGACGCUGAGCGCCAAACCGAUAGCCGAGUGGACCCCGAUUGGCGGCCGAGCAGCGAUUCGUGUGGAGGCCGAAGCGAAAAAAACACAUGUGAUUUACGUUGCUACCAAGUGACUGGGACCAGAGCCAGAGCCUGGAGCCGGCGGGCUCCUCAGCCUGCGUCUUCAGGCAGCGUGCAAAUCUUUAAGCAGAAUUGAAGACACAGACGGCAAAGGCGACGACGACGACGACGACGAUGGCAACGACUGUGCGGCAUCGAUUGUGUCGUUCGCAGGUAUAGCAAUUGUACUAUUUCCCAUGCUCGUCGCUACUGCUCAUUUGAAAAUCAUAGAUCACAUACCACGGUGCGGCUAAACAGACGAAGACGAACACAGAGCACAAAAAGGGCAAACUGAGAAAUCAAAAAAAUGUAUGCAAAAAACUCGCACACAAACGCAGAGGAACACUCGCACACAAAUGCAUUGAGUGAUUUUGAUUACGAGGAAAGAAUAGGCGGCACACUAAUACAAGCGUCGAACACUAUGAAAUUGCAGUAACAACGUGAAUGGGAAUGGAACACAACAAUAGCAGCGGGAGCAGCAAGAGCAAAUAAACUUCCAAAAAAAAGAGAUGUGGAAUGAACAACGUGAAGAACUAAAUUGUAAAUCGAAAUUCCAAGAAGUGCGGUCUGAGAUUUGGUCGGAGGUUUGUUUUUUAAACGUCUGACGUCGACGGCGGCAUUAAAAAAGUGUGCAAAAAAGCGUUUGAGAUACUUUUACGCGCGCGCGCGAAAGCUAACGAGUGCGAGGGGUGUACCGGGCUAUGAUUGUGUGUACGUGUCACACAUACAUAUGUAUGUACGUGUGAGUGUGUGGGUCUUUAGUGUGCACGGCGUUUAGGACUUUUGCAUACAAAAGAGGCGGAGAGGAGACGUGCAAUUAGUGUGCAAUAAAACGGACAUAGAAGAAUUUGAUGGAUAGGCUCAAUGAUACCAAUGUUUUCGUAUAACGGAGAUUUUACUGUAUGUUGUGGUCGAGCUCCACAUUGGCAUCCAAAAAGCUAUUGCGAAUUUGAAUUGGAGAUUGACAAAGGUGUUGACAGGCUUUUGGCAUUGAAGUUCCAGGUAUCACAUGUGCUUGACUAGAGGAAUGUGCUUCCAGUUGAGCUGCAAAGACAAGCGAAGAAUAUGGGAGACGCCUGGAAGGGAAAUACGAGAAAUGACAGUGUAUGCCUCAGAGACCAUAACAUGCUGAACCACCCUAGGAAACCCCCAAUCAAAAAUUUCGUUAAAAAAAUGUAUGUAAAUCUUAAACAGGGUAUUCUCAAGUCAAUCACUGCGACCUGAUUCUCGAGUGUAAUUUUUCUUGUAUAUUUCUGGUAUAAAAUUUCGUUAAAAAAAUGUAUGUAAAUCUUAAACAGGGUAUUCUCAAGUCAAUCACUGCGACCUGAUUCUCGAGUGUAAUUUUUCUGGUAUAUUCUGUGCAUUUUAGACGCUGCUCGCGUAAUGAGGAUAAACGAUUCACAAUAAAAAUCAUAAUGUUUUUACACCA